This 484-nucleotide ribosomal RNA is filed under the name uncultured bacterium. Its description in RNAcentral is "partial 16S ribosomal RNA". It matches the Rfam family "Bacterial small subunit ribosomal RNA", at positions 29 to 507 of the family's 1533-position model. The record is from RNAcentral.
AUUGAACGCUGGCGGCAUGCCUAACACAUGCAAGUCGAACGGCAGCACGGGGGCAGCCCUGGUCGCGAGUUGCGAACGGGUGAGUAAUACAUCGGAAGGUGCCCGGUCGAGGGGGAUAGCGUAGCGAAAGGUACGCUAAUACCGCAUCCGAUCUGAGGUUGAAAGCGGGGGACCUUCGGUCAUCGCCGGAUUGGAUGGCCCUAGGUCAGAUUAGCGAGUUGGUGGGGUAAAGGCAUACGAAGCCGACGAUCCGUAGCUGGUCUGAGAGGCCGACCAGCCACACUGGGACUGAGACACGGCCCAGACUCCUACGGGAGGCAGCAGUGGGGAAUGUUGGACAAUGGGCGCAAGCCUGAUCCAGCCAUGCCGCGUGCAGGACGAAGGCCUUCGGGUUGUAAAAUGCUUUUAUACGGAAAGAAAAGGCUCUGGCUAAUACCUGGGGGUCAUGACGGUACCGUAAGAAUAAGCACCGGCUAACUACGUG